RNAcentral lists this ribosomal RNA (847 nucleotides) under Penicillium fagi. Its description in RNAcentral is "LSU rRNA". It matches the Rfam family "Eukaryotic large subunit ribosomal RNA", at positions 75 to 940 of the family's 3401-position model. The record is from RNAcentral. Lineage: Eukaryota; Fungi; Ascomycota; Eurotiomycetes; Eurotiales; Aspergillaceae.
UUGCCUCAGUAACGGCGAGUGAAGCGGCAAGAGCUCAAAUUUGAAAGCUGGCCCCCUCGGGGUCCGCAUUGUAAUUUGCAGAGGAUGCUUCGGGAGUGGCCCCCAUCUAAGUGCUCUGGAACGGGCCGUCAUAGAGGGUGAGAAUCCCGUAUGGGAUGGGGUGUCCGCGACCAUGUGAAGCUCCUUCGACGAGUCGAGUUGUUUGGGAAUGCAGCUCUAAAUGGGUGGUAAAUUUCAUCUAAAGCUAAAUAUUGGCCGGAGACCGAUAGCGCACAAGUAGAGUGAUCGAAAGAUGAAAAGCACUUUGAAAAGAGAGUUAAAAAGCACGUGAAAUUGUUGAAAGGGAAGCGCUUGCGACCAGACUCGCCUACGGGGUUCAGCCGGUAUUCGUACCGGUGUACUUCCCCGUGGGCGGGCCAGCGUCGGUUUGGGCGGCCGGUCAAAGGCCCUCGGAAUGUAACGCCUCUCGGGGCGUCUUAUAGCCGAGGGUGCCAUGCGGCCAGCCCGGACCGAGGAACGCGCUUCGGCACGGACGCUGGCAUAAUGGUCGUAAGCGACCCGUCUUGAAACACGGACCAAGGAGUCUAACAUCUACGCGAGUGUUCGGGUGUCAAACCCGUGCGCGCAGUGAAAGCGAACGGAGGUGGGAACCCUCACGGGUGCACCAUCGACCGAUCCUGAAGUCUUCGGAUGGAUUUGAGUAAGAGCGUAGCUGUUGGGACCCGAAAGAUGGUGAACUAUGCCUGAAUAGGGCGAAGCCAGAGGAAACUCUGGUGGAGGCUCGCAGCGGUUCUGACGUGCAAAUCGAUCGUCAAAUUUGGGUAUAGGGGCGAAAGACUAAUCGAAC